AGGAGGGGGGGGAAGGGACAGAGAGAGAGAGAGAGAGACAAUCUUAAGCCCCUGGGAUAUAUUUUCAAAUAUAGGCCAUCUUAGAGACCUAUCCAGAAGGUAAUAAUACUUAGUUCAACUGUCAGUCAUCGAUUGGAACCAUACAGGAAAGAUAUUUAGGGAAAGGUAUGUAGAUUAGCAUUAAUCAAAAAUUUAAAAAAUACCCUAAAAUUGUAUUUGAAUAGAUAAACCAUUUAUAUGAUACAAAAUUUAAGAAGGUUCAGGGGCGCCUGGGUGGCUCAGUUAAGCGUCCAACUCUUGAUUUCAAGUCAUGAUCUCACGGUUUGUGAGAUGGAGCCCUGCAUGGGCUCUGCACUGCUUGGGAUUCUCUCCCUCUCUGUACCCCUCGCCCACUCUCAUGCCUGUGUGCGCUCUCUCUUUCUCUCUCAAAAUAAACUUUAAAAGUGUUUAAAAUUAAGGAUGUUCAAACAUAUACAGGGAACAUUCUCGCUUCCAACUGUAACCCCUAGUUAUCCAUUUUCCUUUCCCAGAGGCAACUAAUACUACAAACUUAUGAUGUAUUCUUACAGAUAUUUGAUGUGGAUAUGGACACAAACAUACAUAUGUACAUACAAGUUUAUAGCAUAUAUUUCCUCUGUUCUACACAGAUGGGAGCAUACUCCUACAUUAAGGAAUCUUCUUAUAAUUUAAAAAGUACACAGCCAAUUUCCAGAGUUUUGUGUUCACUAAAAAUUAUGACAUCAAGAGGAUAUAACAGUAUAGUGCUGUGCUUUACCAUAUGGUAGCCCCUUGUGACAUGGGGCUAUUUACACGUAAGUUUAUUAAAUUGAAAAUUCAGUUCCUCAGUUGCAUUAGCCACCUUUUCGUGUGCUCAGUAGCUAACGUGUGGCUAGUGGCUAUCAUGUAAUACAGUGUAGAUAUAAAACAUUUCCAUUUCACAGUUCUUUUUGGACAGUGCCAACAUGAUAAAGUAAUUCUAAUUUCUUUAAUAUUUUAAAGUAUCUUUGUAGAGUACAACAAAAUAAGAUCUUCCUCAACUUGUGAUGAUUUAUGUCCCAAUAAACCCAUUGUGAGUUGAAAAUACCUAAGUUGAAAACACAUGUACUAUACCUAACCUACCGAACAUCACAGCUUAGCCUAAUCUACCUCUAACAUGCUCAGAACACUUACGUUAUCCUACGGUUGGGCAAAAUCAUUUAAUACAAAGACAAUUUAUAACCAGUGUUGAAUGUCCCAUGUAUGUUAUCGACUGCCGUACUGAGAGUGAAAAACAGAAUGGUUUUAUCAGGUACAGAGUGGUUUAAGUAUAUUCGUUUACUUUUGUGUUUGCAUCUAAUAGGAGCUGCUGCUCACUGCUACUGCCUAAGCAGUACAAGAGUGUUGCCUACCACAGAUCGCUAGCUUGGAGAAAAUACCAAAAUUCAAAUUUUGAAGUAUGGUUUCUACUGAAUGUGUAUUUGUUUUGCACCAUCGUAAAGUCCAAACAUUAACCCUUUUCUCGAAUGCUAGUGCGGAUGGUCUCCAGCCUUCAAUGUUGAGUGAAUUCUACUUGGCUACAUUUCUGCUGGAUCUGGAGAAUCAUAAUAGGUAAGAGUCUCAUGCCUGUUUUGAAAUUGUAUGUGUCGUGUCUCUGGUGGUUCAGUAUAUUUAACUUGCUUCCUCGUGAGUGUAGCUUCAAGGUAUCGUUUCUUGCUGGAGUUCUGAGUUGUGAUUUAUCUGCUCUCGGUCGAAAUAUUAAAUAAAUCUGAGAAACCUCUGAAACCCA
This is a long non-coding RNA of Felis catus (domestic cat), 1765 nucleotides long. RefSeq lists it as uncharacterized. The transcript is spliced from 2 exons. Lineage: Eukaryota; Metazoa; Chordata; Mammalia; Carnivora; Felidae. The record is from RefSeq and is a predicted model, not a curated record.